UGGCUCAGUGGUAGAGUGCUUGCCUCGCAUGCAUGAGACCCUGGGUUCGAUUCCUCAG
Non-coding RNA from Dipodomys ordii (Ord's kangaroo rat), 58 nucleotides. Lineage: Eukaryota; Metazoa; Chordata; Mammalia; Rodentia; Heteromyidae. The record is from Rfam.